This 73-nucleotide transfer RNA is filed under the name Bos taurus (domestic cattle). It matches the Rfam family "tRNA". Rfam says of the family: Transfer RNA (tRNA) molecules are approximately 80 nucleotides in length. Their secondary structure includes four short double-helical elements and three loops (D, anti-codon, and T loops). RNAcentral also lists the same sequence under 4 other names. The record is from Rfam by way of RNAcentral. Lineage: Eukaryota; Metazoa; Chordata; Mammalia; Artiodactyla; Bovidae.
UCCCUGGUGGCUCAGAUGGUAAAAGCGUCUGCCUACAAUGCAGGAGAACAGGGUUCGAUCCUUGGGCUGGGAA